AGGUAGCCAUUUGGCGUUGGGAGGUAUGGAUGUUCCCAUCCCUAAUUUGCAAAAUAGGUAACUGAGGCUCAGGAGAGCUAGACUAGUUUGUGCACAGCCGAGAAGUGGUCAAGCUAGAAUGGGACCCCAGGUUUGUGCUCCCUACUCUCCACCGAUAACCUAUCAAAGGGCUUUGCAAGAGCUUUUGACUAAUCGCCUCUCAGUGGUUCUCAUUCACUUAAUUGCACAUCAGUAUGUGCCAAAUCUACUAGACAUUGGAGAAACAGUAGGAACAACACCUGGUAGCGGCACAUGGAUCUUUCAGGAAAAUGAAGUAGGUAAUAAACAGGAAAAAGCCCGAAUCUGAUGCUAAGAAGAACAUAAACAGGAUGCUGAGUGUGGCUCUGUGCCUAUGCUCUCCCCGGCGGAAAGUGAGCAGAAGAGGUGUGCAGUUUCCAGGCCUGGCCCAUACAGACCUCCAACAGGUGUUCCCCUGUGCUCUUACUCCUUCUGCCAACUGGAAGCAGAUGGUGACAGGCUCUGGAGAAGGCAAGGCCUGAAGAUGGGAGAUUCCUAAGUGGAGGAGAACUGUGCCUUACUGACCUAAAUAUCCACUCAGUA
This 600-nucleotide long non-coding RNA is filed under the name Pongo abelii (Sumatran orangutan). RNAcentral describes it as "lincRNA". Lineage: Eukaryota; Metazoa; Chordata; Mammalia; Primates; Hominidae. The record is from RNAcentral.